UGAUAUGAGGGUGAUCUGGCUGUGACAUCUGUCACUCCAUUGAUCGCCAGGGUUUAUUCGGCUGAUCUGGCUGGCUAGGCGGGCCUCCCUUCCUACCUCACCACUCCAUGUACGUCACUCCCGAAGCUGCACACUUGGUUGAAGAGGACGACCUUCUCUGAUAGAGGAGGACUGUUCAUCAGUCAGAGGUAUACGACUAUCUGUGCUUCCCUGCUGGAACCUCCAAACAAGCUCUCAAUCUGAUGAGAAUUAAGGUGUUGAACCCUUGGCCCUGGGUUUCUCACCCAUGAUGCAACUCACUGAGCACAGGGUCUCCAU
RNAcentral lists this small nuclear RNA (318 nucleotides) under Felis catus (domestic cat). Its description in RNAcentral is "7SK RNA". It matches the Rfam family "7SK RNA". Rfam says of the family: 7SK was discovered as an abundant small nuclear RNA in the mid-70s but a possible function has only recently been suggested. The record is from Rfam by way of RNAcentral. Lineage: Eukaryota; Metazoa; Chordata; Mammalia; Carnivora; Felidae.